Molecule: RNA transcript, 1227 nt
Organism: Manis javanica (Malayan pangolin)
Lineage: Eukaryota; Metazoa; Chordata; Mammalia; Pholidota; Manidae
Gene: ENDOG
Gene name: endonuclease G
Source: RefSeq, a predicted model, not a curated record
CCGCCACCGGUCCGCAUUAAAAGAGCGGAGAGGGCUCCAGGACGCCCGCUCGGCUCCGGUGCUGACGAGCCUCUGUGGGGUCCCGAGUACCCCGGGGCGUUCGUCAGUGAAAGGGGACGGGCAUUCCAGCCUCUCACGGCUCAGCCAGUCCUAUACCAGAGGCGGGCUCCGCCGGCCGGCGCGGCCCCUUUAAGAGCCUCGCGGGCCGGACGCCGGAGGUCGCGGCGUUCCCCCAGCUGCUGGGCCGCCCUCCCUGGCCAUGAAGGCGCUGCGGGCUGGCCUGUGCUUGGCGCUGGGCGCCGGGCUGGGCGCCGCCGCCGAGGGGUGGCGGCGGCGGCGGGCGGACGCGCGGGCGGCGCCGGGGCUGCUGGGACGGCUGCCCGUGCUGCCCGUGGCGGCGGCGGCCGAGCUGCCCGUCGUGCCCGGGGCCCCGGCUGGCAGCGGCCCGGGCGAGCUGGCCAAGUACGGGCUGCCGGGGCUGGCACAGCUCAAGAGCCGCGAGUCGUACGUGCUGUGCUACGACCCGCGCACCCGCGGCGCGCUCUGGGUGGUGGAGCAGCUGCGGCCCGAGCGGCUCCGCGGCGACGGCGACCGCCGCUCGUGCGACUUCCGCGAGGACGACUCGGUGCACUCUUACCACCGAGCCACCAACGCCGACUACCGCGGCAGCGGCUUCGACCGUGGACACCUCGCGGCCGCCGCCAACCAUCGCUGGAGCCAGAAGGCCAUGGACGACACCUUCUACCUGAGCAACGUCGCGCCCCAGGUAGCGCCUGCGCCCUGCGGCGGAAUGCGAGGCGGCCUGGUCUCCCUGGGCCUCGGCUUGCUCCUCUGCAGGAGGGGAAGGCUGCCCAGUGCGUUCUCUAAGUCAGGUGCCUCACCUCAACCAGAAUGCCUGGAACAACCUGGAGAAAUACAGCCGCAGCUUGACCCGCACCUACCAGAAUGUCUAUGUCUGUACAGGGCCACUCUUCCUGCCCAGGAAGCAGUUUUGCUGGCCUGCUGAGUGACACGGAUGAUGGAAGCAACAGGCUGGAGAGCUGGUUCUGGAGUCCAUAGGCUCAGGAUGGAGUCUAGGCCCUAUCACCUACUCUCCAGGACGGAGGCUGAUGGGAAGUCCUACGUGAAGUACCAGGUAAUCGGCAGGAACCAUGUGGCGGUGCCCACCCACUUCUUCAAGGUGCUGAUCCUGGAGGCAACAGGUGGGCAGAUUGAACUCCGCUCCUA